Molecule: ribosomal RNA, 344 nt
Filed under: uncultured bacterium
Lineage: Bacteria
Description: bacterial SSU rRNA
Rfam family: Bacterial small subunit ribosomal RNA
Source: RNAcentral
GGGCCCGCACAAGCGGUGGAGUAUGUGGUUUAAUUCGAUGCAACGCGAAGAACCUUACCAGGGUUUGACAUCCUGCGAAUCUCUUGGAAACAGGAGAGUGCCUUCGGGAACGCAGUGACAGGUGGUGCAUGGCUGUCGUCAGCUCGUGUCGUGAGAUGUUGGGUUAAGUCCCGCAACGAGCGCAACCCACGUCUUUAGUUGCCAGCAUUUAGUUGGGCACUCUAGAGAGACUGCCGGUGAUAAACCGGAGGAAGGUGUGGAUGACGUCAAGUCCUCAUGGCCCUUACGGGUUGGGCUACACACGUGCUACAAUGGUAUGACAAUGGGUUAAUCCCAAAAAGCUA